RNAcentral lists this ribosomal RNA (401 nucleotides) under uncultured bacterium. RNAcentral describes it as "bacterial SSU rRNA". It matches the Rfam family "Bacterial small subunit ribosomal RNA", at positions 362 to 758 of the family's 1533-position model. The record is from RNAcentral.
UAUUGGACAAUGGGCGAAAGCCUGAUCCAGCAAUGCCGUGUGUGUGAAGAAGGCCUUCGGGUUGUAAAGCACUUUUAGUGGCCAAGCAAAGUUCAUGGCUAAUAUCCAUGAACGCUGACGUUACCCACAGAAAAAGCACUGGCUAACUCUGUGCCAGCAGCCGCGGUAAUACAGAGAGUGCAAGCGUUAAUCGGAAUUACUGGGCGUAAAGCGCACGUAGGUGGAGCUUUAAGUCGGAUGUGAAAUCCCCGAGCUUAACUUGGGAAUUGCAUUCGAUACUGAAACUCUUGAGUAUGGUAGAGGGAAGUGGAAUUUCCGGUGUAGCGGUGAAAUGCGUAGAUAUCGGAAAGAACAUCAGUGGCGAAAGCGGCUUCCUGACCAAUACGACACUAGGUGCGAAA